RNAcentral lists this ribosomal RNA (370 nucleotides) under Phaeocystis antarctica. RNAcentral describes it as "partial Eukaryotic large subunit ribosomal RNA". It matches the Rfam family "Eukaryotic large subunit ribosomal RNA", at positions 88 to 453 of the family's 3401-position model. The record is from RNAcentral. Lineage: Eukaryota; Haptophyta; Phaeocystales; Phaeocystaceae.
GGCGAGUGAAGCGGGAAGAGCCCAGGUUGAAAAUUUAGGCGUUUUAGUGUCUAAAAUUGUAGUCUAGAGACGGUGUUUCCAGUUGUUGGUAUGUGCUUUAGGUUCCUUGGAAGAGGACGCCAUAGAGGGUGAGAGUCCCGUUUAGGCACGUGUUGGCAGCGUCCGGGUAUUGUUCUACGAGUCGAGUUGCUUGGGACUGCAGCUCCAAGUUGGUGGUAAAUUCCAUCAAAGGCUAAAUAGCGGCGAGAGACCGAUAGCGAACAAGUAGCGUGAGCGAAAGAUGACAAGAACUUUGAAAAGAGAGUGAAAGAGUACCUGAAAUCGUUGAAAGGGAAGGGUUUGCGUCCAGUGUUGGUUUUGCGUGUGGUUG